This 614-nucleotide long non-coding RNA is filed under the name Volvox carteri. RNAcentral describes it as "long non-coding RNA (VCAR_LNC000577)". The record is from RNAcentral. Lineage: Eukaryota; Viridiplantae; Chlorophyta; Chlorophyceae; Chlamydomonadales; Volvocaceae.
AAAUUCCCCAACCUCUCUGCCUUGCAUGUGCCUUUACCCGCUGCUCCUGCUGCCUGGCCAGGUGAGUCCAUAAGGUGGUUCGAGCUUCUUUGGUUUUUCGCGUUGGCGUCGGUAGGCUAGCCGGAAUAGUUUAGUUUGGGUCGGUCGGGUCAGUCGCGCGUUCUAGUUUUUUUUUUGGGGGGGGUUGGGAGGAGCACUUGCAUACCGGCAGCCUUUCAGUAUCAGCAAUGCAGCUUUCUCUCCUGGCCAGCAACUUUACGCCUCUUUUACGUCAGCACUUUCUUUUCUCGCCGCCUUCACUACUUUUUCUACACCUACUAGUUUACGUUUUGGCUAUAAUAUUUCUGGCGGCUUAGGUAGGUAGGACUUCCAACUUCUACGCCAAUUCUUCAUCCCGAGGUUACAGUCGUCAUCCCGAGGUUACAGUCGUCACAUUCGCCACGGACGCCUUUCGGUCAGUUCUUUCGGUUGCUACUAUCUUGCUCUGGCAGCAGCUUAAAUCGCGUGUGGUUCGUCUUUCCCCCUCUCCCCCCGGUACGCCGCCACCGCCGCCGCCGCCGCCUCUCACCGCGCCUUUGUGUUCGCCCGCCUCCUCCCCCGGCAAUCCCCGACAG